GAAGAAGGGGACUGUUAUUCAGACUAUCACAGUGGCAUAGGAAAUUUGAGACAGAGCCAGUCAAGAAAUGAAACUUCCUACCUGCAGGCUUUUUAUACACCCACACGAGGGACUCCCCCUGCUGCCGUCUGCUGCCGUCUCCCUCUCACUAAGGAUACAGUGGAGGGGGACAUGCGGGGGAAGGACUGUCGUCUCCAGGCUCCCAUUGCGUUUGGAGAAGAAACGGCUGGGAGCCACCCUGGACCCAUCGCAUCCCCCACAACCUGAGAUCCUUGGACAGAUUCCUUGGUGCCUAGCCCCAAGGCUUACAGGAUCUCAGGUCUCCAACCAGGGACUGAACCUGUGUCAUAGCAGUGAAAGCAUGGAAUCCUGGCCACUGGGCUACCAGGGAACUCCCCUGAAGAACUUUCUUUGACCUUGAUCUUCUUGGGGCUCACCAGAUAUAUACCUAGGAGUGGAAUUGCUGGAUCAUAUGAUGGAAUUUGCACGUGAUGGUGACCCAGCUUCCAUCAUGCAGAUGAUCUUGAGGACCAGGAGGUCGGCAGAACAGAGACUGGAAGGAACCUGAAUUUCCAAAUAACCAUGAGGAGCAAAGCUUCAUUCACCUGGACUGUUCAUCUCACAACUGCUGCAUGAACAGAAAGAAAUAUAUUCUUUAAGCCAUUGCAUUCUGGGGUCUAUUUUAGCCUACUCUACCAAAUACAAUGAGUUUAUAGGAGUUAGCCACAUGGAGAAAUGGAAAGAGACAGAUUUCAAAGCAUCCAGUCAAGAGAGAGCAUUGAACUUCAAGAUGCAUGAAGCAGUGGCUGUGAAAAGGCUGCUAUAAUAAUACGAUAUCUCAGACAUUUAUUUCUCACAGUUCUGGAGGCAGGGAAGUCUAAGAUCAAGGGGCCUGUAGAUUCAGUGCCUGGUGAGAGCUCUCCCUGGCUUGCAGAAGGUUGCCUUCUCAUUGUGGUUUCACAUGGUGUGGAGAGGGAGCUCUGGUCUCUCCUCCUCUUCUCAUAAGGACACUCAUCGCAUCAUAGGGGCUCCACCCUCAUGACCUCAUCUAACCCUAGUCACUUCCCAAAGGCCCCACCUCCAAAUACUAUCUUAUUGGGAGUUAGAUCUUCACGAAAGGGGGAAGGGGGCACAAACAUUCAGCCCAUCACAGGUGGAAGGAAGGAAGACUGGGCCACAGCUUGGACCUUGUGUGCCUUGAGAGAAACUUGGAUGCAAUCCUGUGGACUGUGGGGAGCCAAGCUGGGGAGUGAUGUGAUCAGCCCCUCGUGCCAGCUCUGAGGGUCUCCCGUGGAAAGUGGAGAAGGAGGACCCCUCCUUUCUCUGUCAGGCUAUGCUUCUCUGCUUGACUAGCCCUCAGCGUCCGCUGGUGGCUGUGUACUUGGCUGGCCCCACCAAUAUGGGGUACCAGGGCAAGAAAUCCAACUUAAUCAGAGUCAGGGGGCUCUGGGAGCGACCAUAAGACUAGCCACACUCUUCAUCCUUGGCCAGAGCACCGUGGAGAGGAUCUGUGCAUGUGGAGGAAAAUGGGAAGGAGGAACAAGCAGGGCUGGCAGACCAGCUUAUGGGCAGUCCUUCCCAAAGGAACUGUCCUCCUAGGAAUGAAUCCUGUGUUCAGAAGCGCCUACUACCUCUGAAGAUGUUCUGGGAGCUUGGGUGGUGUGAGAGGAGUGGAGACACUGCCCCAGGAGAGAUGGGAUGGAAAAGCAGAGGCCUGGCAAGAAUCUGAGAACCACCCCAUGGAGGAAGAACGGACAGCGAUAAUAAACACAGCAGAGCCGGAGAUCUGAGUGGCCAGGA
This is a long non-coding RNA of Odocoileus virginianus texanus, 1800 nucleotides long. RefSeq lists it as uncharacterized. The record is from RefSeq and is a predicted model, not a curated record. NCBI's taxonomy places the organism in Eukaryota, Metazoa, Chordata, Mammalia, Artiodactyla, Cervidae.